UGAAUCUGCACUGUAUCUCACGCUGCCCCUUUCCCCUGACAUGCCCUACUUCCAUGAACAAAAGACAGGACAAGCGUGCAUCAUAGAAAAGCGCGUAUAAUCUUGGCCCGGCUUUUCACAGAAUGCUUGACUCACUCCUGCACACUCCGCAGUUCAAAGGUACGAGACUUCCUUAUUUAAAAUCUCAGCUGCAAGUCAGGAGCAUACUGUGUGAUAUUUGUGAUCAAUCAUAACUGCAGAAAAAGAUUGCUCUGGCUCGAAAUAAUAAAAAAAAGAUCCUAUCCAUAAAGUGGUGAUCUUUUGAGGGAUGAACUCCUCAGAGGAAAGUCGAGCUGUGCUAGACAGACUGUUCAGAGCCCCAGUAGACGGACAGAUUAAUGGAGUGUGCCUUCAUAUACAGUAGUCGUCUUAAACCUUAGAUGAAGUUGAGUGCAACACUCAAAGCACAGGAGGCGGCGUGUGGGGAAAUUUAUAUAACCUACUGAGU
Molecule: long non-coding RNA, 487 nt
Organism: Salarias fasciatus (jewelled blenny)
Lineage: Eukaryota; Metazoa; Chordata; Actinopteri; Blenniiformes; Blenniidae
Exons: 3
Source: RefSeq, a predicted model, not a curated record